Long non-coding RNA from Amphiprion ocellaris (clown anemonefish), 2845 nucleotides. RefSeq lists it as uncharacterized. Lineage: Eukaryota; Metazoa; Chordata; Actinopteri; Pomacentridae. The transcript has 2 exons. The record is from RefSeq and is a predicted model, not a curated record.
UUCACGGUCAGGUCUGUGGCAAUCCUGUCAAAAAACAAAACAGAAAAAUUUCUAGAUUAUAAAUCAACAUGUAACCAAAGCACUCUGUGUAUAACACCAUAGUAUAGGAUGUAGUUCAGAAAAUGUCAAAGUAUAGUAUACUUUUCAAGAAUAACAUAGUAUGGCCUGUAGUUCAUAGUAUAGCAUGUCGGCAAAAAACCCCAACUGAUUAUUAUGUGGUUCAAAAAGUGCAAAAUGAUAGGAUGUUGCCUAAAAUUGUCAUGUAUGAUAUGUGGUUCAAAAAAUGUCCCACUGCAGUAUAUUGUCAAAAUAGUAUGUUUUUCAAGAAAACAUCAGAGUAUAAUAUGUCGUCUAAAAAAUGCCAUAGAAUAAUAUUUCAUUGCACAAGUAAAACUAUAGUAAUUUUUAAAACUGUUCAAAUUCUCAUAUGUUGCUAAAAAACAACAAAAAAAACUAAAGCAAAAAAAAUCAUAGUAAUAUGUCAAUUUGAAAAGCCGAUAGUAUAGUGUCGCCCAACAAACGUCAUAGUAUAGCAUGUCGCUCUAAACACGUCAUAGUAUAGCAUGUCGCUCUAAGAACGUCAUAGUACAGCAUGUCACUCUAAAAACGUCAUAGUAUAGCAUGUCAACCAAAAAACGUCAUAGUAUAGCAUGUCACUCUAAAAUUGUCAUAGUAUAGCAUGUCACUCUAAAAACGUCAUAGUAUAGCAUGUCGUCCAAAAAACGUCAUAGUAUAGCAUGUGGCUCAAAAAACGUCAUAGUGUAGCAUGUCGCUCUAAAAACGUCAUAGUAUAGCAUGUCGCUCUUGAAACGUCAUUGUAUAGCAUGUCGCUCUAAAAACGUCAUAGUAUAGCAUGUCGCCCUAAAAACGUCAUAGUAUAGCAUGUCGCUCUAAAAACGUCAUAGUAUAGCAUGUCGCUCAAAAAAUGUCAUUGUAUAGCAUGUCGCUCUAAAAAUGUCAUUGUAUAGCCUUUGGUCCAAAAAACGUCACAGCAUAGCAUGUCGUCCAAAAAACAUCACAGAAUAGCAUGUCUUCCAAAAAACGUCAGAGUAUAGCCUUUGGUCUAAAAACAUCAUAGUAUAGCAUGUCGCUCAAAAAAACGUCAUAGUGUAGCAUGUCGCUCAAAAAACGUCAUAGUAUAGCCUUUGGUCCAACAAACAUCAUAGUUUAGCAUGUUGCCCAAAAAAACGUCAUAGUAUAGCAUGUCGUCCAAAAAAACGUCAUAGUAUAGCAUGUGGCUCAAAAAACGUCAUAGUGUAGCAUGUCGCUCUAAAAAUGUCAUAGUAUAGCAUGUCGCUCAACAAACGUCAUUGUAUAGCAUGUCGUCCAAAAAACGUCAACGUAUUGCAUGUCACUCUAAAAACGUCAGAGUCUAGCAUGUCGCUCUAAAAAUGUCAUAGUAGCAUGUCGCUCUAAAAACGUCAUAGUUUAGCAUGUCGCUCUAAAAACUUCAUAAUAUAGCAUGUCGCCCAAAAAAGUCAGAGUAUAGCAUGUCGCUCUAAAAAUGUCAUAGUAUAGCAUGUCGCUCUAAAAACAUCAUAGUAUAGCAUGUCGUCCAAAGAACAUCAUAGUAUAGCAUGUCGUCCAAAGAACAUCAUAGUAUAGCAUGUCGUCCAAAGAACAUCAUAGUAUAGCAUGUCAGUCUUGAAACGUCAUAAUAUAGCAUGUCGCUCUGAAAAUGUCAUAGUAUAGCAUGUCGCUCUAAAAACAUCAUAGUAUAGCAUGUGGCUCAAAAAACGUCAUAGUAUAGCCUUUGGUCCACAAAACGUUGUUUUGUCCCGGCCGUCUGAAGUAGGUGAGGAGCAACACAAAAACAGUCCAAAUGCUGGUUUCCAGAGGGUUAGACGAGUAUUUAUUUGAAAGAGUAAGUUUACAACAACACAACAUGUGAGGGAGUUAAAAGCAAAUGGGUGUUAGUAAAAUAAAAAUAAAUAAACAGAACUAAAAGUGAACUUCAUGUUGACAUUGAUGGGCAUUCCAACCAGGAACAAUGUAAAAGAUAAUCAAUACGAAAAAAAAAACUCUUCCUGUUCACCUCUUAAAACCCAAAAACACACCGCAGUAGCACCCUAAACUAAAACUACCAAUGGGUUUCCUGUUUUCCUUUGUGAACAAUUCAAAGGUCCCUCUCUAUCUCCCCACACAUCCACCAACCACUGGAACACAUCUCCAAAGUUCUGCUGGGCCAGCUCAGCUUCCCCUCAGAAGAAGUGCUGCCACCUGCCAGAUGAAGGAGCCUUUUGAGAGGCAGCUGGCAUCGUGAUUGGACUGUACUUUGGUCUGUUCCAAUCCAGCUUCAGCUCCAGAGAUGGCAGGCGGGACGAGUCAACGGAGGCCGGGUGGACGAAGGCAUGGAGCUGGGAACAAUCCAGAAAACAACAGAGGAGGAGUGCAGCGACCCAGUAUAGCUUUCGACAUCCACCAACCACUGGAACACAUCUCCAAAGUUCUGCCGGGCCAGCUCAGCUUCCCCUCAGAAGAAGUGCCGCCACCUGCCAGAUGAAGGAGCCUUUUGACAGGCAGCUGGCAUCGUGAUUGGACUGUACUUUGGUCUGUUCCAAUCCAGCUUCAGCUCCAGAGACGGCAGGCGGGACGAGUCAACGGAGGCCGGGUGGACGAAGGCAUGCAGCUGAGUACAAUCCAGAAAACAACAGAGGAGCAGUGCAGCAGCCCAGUAUAGCCUUCAGUAUGAAAAAACACCAUCAUAUACAUCGUAUAUUGUACAAAUAAGUCAAAGGAAAGAGACAUACAUUGUAGAAUUGUAGUAAUUGUGGGCUGACUGAUUUACUGAUUAUCAGUAUUUUAUUUUUUACUGAUUUAUGGUAAUAAAUACAUUUAAAAAUGG